This 73-nucleotide transfer RNA is filed under the name Poecilia formosa (Amazon molly). It matches the Rfam family "tRNA". Rfam says of the family: Transfer RNA (tRNA) molecules are approximately 80 nucleotides in length. The record is from Rfam by way of RNAcentral. Lineage: Eukaryota; Metazoa; Chordata; Actinopteri; Cyprinodontiformes; Poeciliidae.
GUUUCUGUAGUGUAGUGGUUAUCACGUUUGCUUCACACGCAAAAGGUCCCUGGUUCAAAACCAGACAGAAACG